UACGUAGGGGGCAAGCGUUGUCCGGAUUUAUUGGGCGUAAAGAGCGUGUAGGCGGCCAGGUAGGUCGGUUGUGAAAACUGGAGGCUCAACCUUCAGAGGUCGACCGAAACCAUCUGGCUAGAGUCCGGGAGAGGAGAGUGGAAUUCCUGGUGUAGCGGUGAAAUGCGCAGAUAUCAGGAAGAACACCCGUGGCGAAGGCGGCUCUCUGGGACGGUACUGACACUGAGACGCGAAAGCGUGGGGAGCGAACAGG
This 253-nucleotide ribosomal RNA is filed under the name uncultured bacterium. RNAcentral's name for it is "partial 16S ribosomal RNA". It matches the Rfam family "Bacterial small subunit ribosomal RNA", at positions 524 to 776 of the family's 1533-position model. The record is from RNAcentral.